AAGACGUUGAUAGGCUGGGUGUGUAAGCGUAGCGAUACGUUGAGCUAACCAGUACUAAUGAACCGUGAGGCUUAACCUG
Molecule: ribosomal RNA, 79 nt
Filed under: Proteus mirabilis
Lineage: Bacteria; Pseudomonadati; Pseudomonadota; Gammaproteobacteria; Enterobacterales; Morganellaceae
Description: partial 23S ribosomal RNA
Rfam family: Bacterial large subunit ribosomal RNA
Source: RNAcentral